This 396-nucleotide ribosomal RNA is filed under the name Theileria sp. OT3. RNAcentral describes it as "bacterial SSU rRNA". It matches the Rfam family "Eukaryotic small subunit ribosomal RNA", at positions 503 to 925 of the family's 1831-position model. The record is from RNAcentral. Lineage: Eukaryota; Apicomplexa; Aconoidasida; Piroplasmida; Theileriidae.
AUGUGACAGGAAGGGUGGUGAUAUGAACUGCUUCAGGAGUAUCUCUCGGAGGGGCAAGUCUGGUGCCAGCAGCCGCGGUAAUUCCAGCUCUAAUAGCGUAUAUUAAAAUUGUUGCAGUUAAAAAGCUCGUAGUUGAAUUUCUGCUGUAUUGCAUUUUCUCUUUUUAUAUGAGUUUUUGCAUUAUGGCUUAUUUCAGUAUUAAUUUUUUAUUAUUACUGAAUGUUUACUUUGAGAAAAUUAGAGUGCUCAAAGCAGGCUUUUGCCUUGAAUAGUUUAGCAUGAAAUAAUAAAGUAGGACUUUGGUUCUAUUUUGUUGGUUUUAGGUACCAAAGUAAUGGUUAAUAGGAACAGUUGGGGGCAUUCGUAUUUAACUGUCAGAAGGUGAAAUUCUUAGAA